RNAcentral lists this ribosomal RNA (408 nucleotides) under uncultured beta proteobacterium. RNAcentral's name for it is "bacterial SSU rRNA". It matches the Rfam family "Bacterial small subunit ribosomal RNA", at positions 9 to 419 of the family's 1533-position model. Lineage: Bacteria; Pseudomonadati; Pseudomonadota; Betaproteobacteria. The record is from RNAcentral.
GAGUUUGAUCGUGGCUCAGAUUGAACGCUGGCGGCAUGCUUUACACAUGCAAGUCGAACGGCAGCGCGGGCUUCGGCCUGGCGGCGAGUGGCGAACGGGUGAGUAAUAUAUCGGAACGUACCCAGGGGUGGGGGAUAACGUAGCGAAAGUUACGCUAAUACCGCAUACGCUCUACGGAGGAAAGCAGGGGAUCGCAAGACCUUGCGCGCUUGGAGCGGCCGAUAUCUGAUUAGCUAGUUGGUGGGGUAAAGGCUCACCAAGGCAACGAUCAGUAGCUGGUCUGAGAGGACGACCAGCCACACUGGGACUGAGACACGGCCCAGACUCCUACGGGAGGCAGCAGUGGGGAAUUUUGGACAAUGGGGGCAACCCUGAUCCAGCAAUGCCGCGUGAGUGAAGAAGGCCUUC